Molecule: long non-coding RNA, 663 nt
Organism: Bradysia coprophila
Lineage: Eukaryota; Metazoa; Arthropoda; Insecta; Diptera; Sciaridae
Source: RefSeq, a predicted model, not a curated record
AGUGGUCUCUCAGUAGCAUUGGCAUGUGAACUUUCAUUCCAUGUUUGUGUUUAUUUAGAACUUUCAAUAAUUAACUUAAAAUCCAAACGAUCAUAAAUCCUUCAAAUAGACUAAUAGGUCGGCUUAUAGAAGCCUGGCCUAUUGGACGUAUGUGUAAAUAUGAAACCUACUCGAAAUUGAAUCGAUUUCUUUUAAUGUCAGUAAGAAGAGGCAACUCGAGUAAUCAUACCAGAAAGGAAAUUUUUAGACGGACACCUCGUAGAGACCACUGGAAAGAUUUUCUGGAUAAUUCUGUCAAAUUGCCUUCUGUCGGCAUCUUGAAUAACGUGCUAGACCAUAAAUGUGACAUGUUAUUCGAAGAUUCAAAAUCCAAAAAGUGCAACAGAAAUGACAUGAAAUUCGAGCAAUCAGUUGAAAUAACACAAGUCGUCCUAAAGAAAACAGAUCCAGAUCCAAUAGAUAAACCUGUCGUCGAAAGCGAAUCAGCGGAUUUAGCGUUUUCUAUUGCUUUGCUCUUUGAUAAAAAACUCAAGCGAUCGCUAAUUAAUUUCACAAAAUGUUCGUGUCGAAAAUGUUUAAACCUUUGCAGAUGUAAUCGGCGUGUAUUAACAACUCAAAAAUAAUAAAAGAAAUGAAAAAUAAAUGAAACGUUCGAAAUUGUAA